This 253-nucleotide ribosomal RNA is filed under the name uncultured bacterium. RNAcentral describes it as "partial 16S ribosomal RNA". It matches the Rfam family "Bacterial small subunit ribosomal RNA", at positions 524 to 776 of the family's 1533-position model. The record is from RNAcentral.
UACGGGGGGGGCAAGCGUUGUUCGGAAUUACUGGGCGUAAAGGGUGCGUAGGCGGCUUAUUAAGUCAGGGGUGAAAGACGGUGGCUCAACCAUCGCAGUGCCUUUGAUACUGAUGAGCUUGAAUACACUUGAGGUAGGCGGAAUGUGACAAGUAGCGGUGAAAUGCAUAGAUAUGUCACAGAACACCAAUUGCGAAGGCAGCUUACUAAGGUGCAAUUGACGCUGAGGCACGAAAGCGUGGGGAUCAAACAGG